ACCAGCAGCCAUAUCACCCUGCAGCCCAAGACUUGUUGCCCACUGAAGCUAAGCAGGGCUGAGCCUGGUCAGUACCUGGAUGGGAGACCUCCUGGGAAAACUAGGUUGCUGCUGGAA
Sinocyclocheilus grahami is the source of this 117-nucleotide ribosomal RNA. The record is from Ensembl. Lineage: Eukaryota; Metazoa; Chordata; Actinopteri; Cypriniformes; Cyprinidae.